AUGGAGAACGGACGCAUGUCAGACCGGAUCAGGUCGCCCUCUUCUCCUCCCAGCGGCAGCGAGACGGCGGCCGAGAGACUCACCGACGACCUCCUCGUCGAGAUCCUCUCGCGCGUGCCCGCCAGGUCGCUCUGCCGCUUCAAGUGCGUCUCCAAGCACUGGCUCGGCCUCAUCAACGACCGCACCUACCGCCGGAAGCUGCCCCAGAUCCUGGCUGGCUUCUACGACGGGGGCCAAUUGGUAGAUUCAGGUGUUCCUUUCACCAAUAUCUCGGGAAGCCGCCAUCUCACAUAUCCCGCCUUCCUGCCCAGCCGCCGGAAGGUCAUGGUCGUGGACUGCUGCAACGGCCUCCUUCUCUUCUCCUCAUACGCUGGUGGCGACCAUGGCGACGAGUUAUACGUUGUGUGCAAUCCCGCCACAGAGGAAUGGGCUGAGUUGCCGCAUCCCGGUCAUUCCGGUGAUGUGUCUAGUAUAAACUUGUGUUUUGAUCCAGCCGUGUCCCCCCAUUUCCAUGUGUUUUUGUUGCCGGCUGUGGAGGUGGAGGACCAACAUGGCUACUGUCUUACCGGAGUGCAUGUCUAUUCAUCUGAAACCGGGAGUUGGGUUCAUAAGGAGAAGAGAUGGAGCGGCAAUAUCGAUGUCGGUUAUGAUCCGUCAUUUAUCUAUCUCAAUGGUUAUCUGCAUUUUUGCGCCAUUGUUGAUGAUUCUGCCCGCCAGCUAGCUGCAGUGGACAAGGAGGGGGGAGCAAGGACUGACUUCCGUGUUCCUGAUGAUCUGAAUGUUUGUUUUAUUCAGCAGUCACAGGGCUGCCUGCAUUAUGCUGGUUUUGACAGAGGUGACAAUGAUGAUGAUGUUGAUCGACUGCUAGUUUAUGUUCUUAAAGACUAUGACAGCAAAGAAUGGAUACUGAAGCAUAGCGUCGAAACUUCACAUGUGUUUGGAGGGCUUCAUGCAGUCAGCCUUUAUGAGAACUUUGAUUGGAUUGCAAUUCAUCCAGAAUGUAACUUGAUCUUCUUCACUCUGGCCUGGGAGGAUAUCACAUUCAUGUGCUAUGAUAUGGAUCGUGGACAAGUUAAAGUGAUCUGCAAUCUUGAAGAAAGCGAGCCACCAUAUUUUCCGUAUGUUCCACUAUAUGAAGAGUUACAAUCUUUGCACAAGUGA
RNAcentral lists this ribosomal RNA (1161 nucleotides) under Triticum aestivum (bread wheat). RNAcentral's name for it is "partial small subunit ribosomal RNA". The record is from RNAcentral. Lineage: Eukaryota; Viridiplantae; Streptophyta; Magnoliopsida; Poales; Poaceae.